This 520-nucleotide ribosomal RNA is filed under the name uncultured Glomus. RNAcentral's name for it is "SSU rRNA". It matches the Rfam family "Eukaryotic small subunit ribosomal RNA", at positions 569 to 1089 of the family's 1831-position model. Lineage: Eukaryota; Fungi; Glomeromycota; Glomeromycetes; Glomerales; Glomeraceae. The record is from RNAcentral.
AGCAGCCGCGGUAAUUCCAGCUCCAAUAGCGUAUAUUAAAGUUAUUGCAGUUAAAAAGCUCGUAGUUGAAUUUCGGGAUCAAUAUAUCGGUCGUGCCAUUGGUACGUACUGGUAUCAUUGGUUUCUCCUUUCUGACGAACCAUGAUGUCAUUAAUUUGGUGUUAUGGGAAGUUAGGACUGUUACUUUGAAAAAAAUUAGAGUGUUUAAAGCAGGCUUUAGCUUGAGUACAUUAGCAUGGAAUAAUGAAAUAGGACGUUCGAACCUAUUUUGUUGGUUUCUAGGAUCAACGUAAUGAUUAAUAGGGAUAGUUGGGGGCAUUAGUAUUCAAUUGUCAGAGGUGAAAUUCUUGGAUUAUUGAAGACUAACUACUGCGAAGGCAUUUGCCAAGGAUGUUUUCAUUAAUCAAGAACGAAAGUUAGGGGAUCGAAGACGAUCAGAUACCGUCGUAGUCUUAACCAUAAACUAUGCCGACUAGGGAUCGGAUGAUGUUAAUUUUUUCAAUGACUCAUUCGGCGCCUU